RNAcentral lists this ribosomal RNA (497 nucleotides) under uncultured bacterium. Its description in RNAcentral is "partial 16S ribosomal RNA". It matches the Rfam family "Bacterial small subunit ribosomal RNA", at positions 28 to 507 of the family's 1533-position model. The record is from RNAcentral.
GAUGAACGCUGGCGGCGUGCCUAAUACAUGCAAGUCGAGCGAACAGACGAGGAGCUUGCUCCUCUGACGUUAGCGGCGGACGGGUGAGUAACACGUGGAUAACCUACCUAUAAGACUGGGAUAACUUCGGGAAACCGGAGCUAAUACCGGAUAAUAUAUUGAACCGCAUGGUUCAAUAGUGAAAGACGGUUUUGCUGUCACUUAUAGAUGGAUCCGCGCCGCAUUAGCUAGUUGGUAAGGUAACGGCUUACCAAGGCAACGAUGCGUAGCCGACCUGGGAGGGUGAUCGGCCACACUGGAACUGGGACACGGUCCAGACUCCUACGGGAGGCAGCAGUAGGGAAUCUUCCGCAAUGGGCGAAAGCUUGACGGAGCAACGCCGCGUGAGUGAUGAAGGUCUUCGGAUCGUAAAACUCUGUUAUUAGGGAAGAACAAAUGUGUAAGUAACUAUGCACGUCUUGACGGUACCUAAUCAGAAAGCCACGGCUAACUACGUG